Molecule: small nucleolar RNA, 66 nt
Filed under: Trypanosoma cruzi
Lineage: Eukaryota; Euglenozoa; Kinetoplastea; Trypanosomatida; Trypanosomatidae
Description: C/D small nucleolar RNA (snoRNA)
Source: RNAcentral
CCAGCAGUCAAUGCCUCGUUUCUCGUUCACGCGAGUCGGCAUUGUGCAGCAAGCAGCGGCACCAUG